Molecule: ribosomal RNA, 610 nt
Filed under: uncultured bacterium
Lineage: Bacteria
Description: bacterial SSU rRNA
Rfam family: Bacterial small subunit ribosomal RNA
Source: RNAcentral
CCUACGGGAGGCAGCAGUAGGGAAUAUUGGACAAUGGACGCAAGUCUGAUCCAGCCAUCCCGCGUGAAGGAUUAAGGCCCUAUGGGUUGUAAACUUCUUUUCUUUGGGAAUAAAAAGCGGUAUUCAUAUCGCCUUGAAGGUACCAGAGGAAUAAGCACCGGCUAACUCCGUGCCAGCAGCCGCGGUAAUACGGAGGGUGCAAGCGUUAUCCGGAUUCACUGGGUUUAAAGGGUGCGUAGGUGGCUUUGUAAGUCAGCGGUGAAAGCCUGGAGCUCAACUCCAGAAUUGCCAUUGAUACUGCAGAGCUUGAAUCAAGUUGAGGUGGAUGGAAUAUUACAUGUAGCGGUGAAAUGCUUAGAUAUGUAAUAGAACACCGAUUGCGAAGGCAGUUCACUAAGCUUGUAUUGACACUGAGGCACGAAAGCGUGGGGAUCAAACAGGAUUAGAUACCCUGGUAGUCCACGCCCUAAACGAUGCAAACUCGACAUUAGCGAUAUACAGUUAGUGUCCAAGCGAAAGCGUUAAGUUUGCCACCUGGGAAGUACGACCGCAAGGUUGAACUUAAAGGAAAUUGACGGNUGAGAGNGCGAGACGACGACGAGGGAGGAGG